GUGGGUAUGGUUUCUUGAGAAAAAGUCAAAAGCUUUCUCCAAGUUCGUUCAAUUCAAAGCAGCAAUUGAGAAGGAAAGCGGGCAUCAAAUCAAAACACUGAAAAGAUCAUGGUGGAGAGUUCAUUUACAAACCAUUUAUGGAGUACUGUCGCACCAAUGGAAUCAAGAGGUAGUUGACAGUGCGGUACACACCACAACAAAAUGGCAUAGUAGAACGAAAGAACCGUACAAUUGUGGAGAUGUCAAGAAGCAUGAUGACUGCUAAGAAACUUCCCAACCAACUAUGGGCAGAAGCUAUCAAUACAACAAUCUACAUCCUCAAUAGAUCGGCAACCAAAGCAGUGAAGUACAAAGCACCAUUUCAAGCAUCGCACCACUAAUGGCCGCAAAUAGAUCACCUCAAAGUAUUCAGAUGCAUAGCUUAUGCACACAUCUCUACCCCAAAUCGAGAGAAGUUCGACCCGAAAGGAGAGAAGCUCAUCUUCAUCGAAUAUACCGAUGAAUCCAAAGGCUAUAGACUAUACAAUCCUUUAAAGAUCGAGGUAGUGAUUUCACGAGAUGUUAUCUUCGACGAAAUGGUUGAGUGGAGUUGGGAAACUCGGGAUACCCAACCUCCAUAAAAAAUGAGAUCUUGGAGAAUCCAACAACUACAGCAACAACACUAAAUGAGGCGGAUUAGAUUCCAAGCCAAGGAAGAAGUCCAACAACGAGUCUAACAAGAGACAAUGUUAGAGACGUUUUGACAGAUUCAGACUCACGUAAAUCUCGCUACAUUUUCGCCAGCGCGCCAACAAAUUUCGUAUCAGAGCAGAAACAACAUUUCUGAGAAUUUUUGGCAUCAAAUUAGCCAAAGAAGCUUGGGAAGUCUUUAAGAACGAAUUUCAAGGUUCCAAGAAGGUAAUCUCCAUAAAAUGCCAAAAUCUAUGGCGUCAAUUCAAAAACCUAGCAAUGAAGGAAGGCGAAACCAUGAAAGACUUUCAUUCUCGUGUUGCUGAGAGAUUGAACCAGAUCAAAGUCACUAGAGAUACUAUCGAUGAGAAGAAGAUCGUGGAAAGGAUCCUUCGCAGCCUAACACCGAAGUUUGAGCAUGUUGUCACUGUCAUAGAAGAAACCAAAGAUUUUGGAAAAUUACCCAUGAUGGAGCUUAUGGGAUCACUUGUAGCUCACGAGCAAAGAUUGAGUCGGUUUACCAACCGACAACUCGAGCUAGCUUUUCAAUCCAAGGUCGACAUCAAGGAGAUAAAUCAGCAAAUCAGGAGCAGAAUCACAAAGGAGACAAGUUUCAGAAAAAAUUAGGAAAACCAAAUUUCAAGAAAAACAACAACUAGAGCCAGAAUGAGGAGAAAUCAAGCAAAUCCAACGACGGAUGCAAAAUUUGGAAAAAAUCUGACCAUGCUACCAAAGAAUGCAGGUUUAGGUGGACCAAAUGCAAAAUUCAAAAUCACUCUCAACGAAAUUUGCUGGUUCCAAAACAAGAAAGAAGAAGGCGAAUCAAGCUUUGCACAGAAGGACAAAGAAAAAUUGGUCGCUUACACUUGCUUCAAAGCCGAGCAAAAUUCACAACUUCUAUGGGUGGUGGACAGCGGUUGUAGUAAUCACAUGACUAGAGAUCGGGAGUCCUUCACCGAGAUGGAUGAUACAUAUAAUUGCCAAGUGAAGAUUGGAGACGGUAAAAAGCUGGAAGUUGAAGGAAAGUGUACAAUCAUGGUACAAAGAAAGGAAGGUAACAAAACACUAAUCCAAGAAGUUUUGUAAGUUCCUGAAUUAGCUCAGAAUUUUCUGAGUGUUGGACAACUAAUGCUUAAAAAAUGCAAGCUAUUGUUUGAUAACGAAGAAUGUAAGAUUAUCAACAAAGCCAACAACUCGAAAGUGGAAAAUCUCGAUGACUUCUACCAAGAUGUUUCCUUUCAAAAUGCCGAAGAAUGAAGAAAUAACAAUGAAGAGCAAACGCAUGGAUGAAUCAAUGCGGGGAAAACAGGGUUCGUCGGCAAGUGGAUUCCGAUUCUUCCUCCGAUUCUGGACAUGGAGAUCCUAUUUCUGAUUCACCUCUUCGAGGAAGAGAUAGAAUAUCUGAUUCAAUUAGUAGAUCAGAUGGACACCUAAACUACAAAUGGCUUAAAUUACUGAAGCCGAAAAAUAUGGUGGUCGAUCUUCCCUAAAUCAACAGAGAAGAUAAAGUUUAUGAAGGAUGCAUAUAUGGCAAAAUGCAUCGCUUGCCAUUUCCAAAAACUAAAGCACCACUAGAGUUGAUAUACACUGAUAUUUACGGACCAACUAGAACAACAUUCAUAGGUGGUAAGAUAUACUUUCUUCUAUUUGUGGAUGAUUAUACUAGAAUGAUGUGGGUAUGCUUUCUUGAGAAAAUGUCAGAAGCUUUCUCCAAGUUCCUUCAAUUCAAAGCAGCAGUUGAGAAGGAAAGCAUGCAUCAAAUCAAAACACUCCAAAAAGAUCAUAGUGGAGAGUUCAUCUACAAACCAUUUAUGGAGUACUGUCGCACCAAUGGAAUCAAGAGGUAGUUGACAGUGCGAUACACACCACAACACAAUAACGUAGUAGAACGAAAGAACCGUACUAUUGUGGAGAUGUCAAGAAGCAUGAUGACUGCUAAGAAAACUCCCAAGCAACUCUGGGUAAAAGCUAUCAAUACAACAAUCUACAUCCUCAACAGAUCGCCAACCAAAGCAGUGAAGUACAAAGCACCUUUUCAAGCAUGGCACCACAAAUGGCCGCAAAUAGCUCACCUCAAAGUAUUCGGAUGUAUAACUUAUGCAAACAUCUCUACCCCAAAUCGAGACAAGUUCGACCAGAUAGGAGAGAAGCAAAUCUUCAUUCGAUAUAGCGAUGAAUCCAUAGGCUAUAGACUCUCCAAUCCAUUAAAGAACGAGGUGGUGAUUUCAUGAGAUGUUAUGUUCGACGAAAUGGCCGAUUGGAGUUGGGAAACUCGGGAUACCCAACCUCCAUAAAAAAUGAGAUCUUGGAGAAUCCAACAACUACAGCAACAACACUAAAUGAGGCGGAUUAGAUUCCAAGCCAAGGAAGAAGUCCAACAACGAGUCUAACAAGAGACAAUGUUAGAGACGUCGUGACAGAUUCAGACUCACGUAAAUCUCGCUACAUUUUCGCCAGCGCGCCAACAAAUUUCGUAUCAGAGCUAAAGUUACGCUGAGUAUGCCCUGUGGUUGCGAUUUUAAUAACUGAUCUUACACAUAAAAAAGUUACACUUUAGUACUUUGAUAAUCAUAUUUUAAUCCACCCUCACAAAGUCCUCUGAAAACCUCUACAAAAAAAUCCUCUCAAAAUACUAUGGCAGCACCAUCGUCAAGUUCCAUGUUCGCCAACUCUCCCAAUCAAAUCCCAAUUUUUUAUGGAGAAUUGUACGAAUAUUGGAAAGCACAAGUGGAGACUAUCUUCAUUUCGCAAGAGUUGCGGAAUAUUUUUCAAGAAGGCAUCAAAAAAUCACCACAAGAGGACGACUCCACAUCGACCAGAUAGGAGAGAAGCUCAUCUUCAUUCGAUAUAGCGAUGAAUCCAUAGGCUAUAGACUCUCCAAUCCAUUAAAGAACGAGGUGGUGAUUUCAUGAGAUGUUAUGUUCGACGAAAUGGCCGAUUGGAGUUGGGAAACUCGGGAUACCCAACCUCCAUAAAAAAUGAGAUCUUGGAGAAUCCAACAACUACAGCAACAACACUAAAUGAGGCGGAUUAGAUUCCAAGCCAAGGAAGAAGUCCAACAACGAGUCUAACAAGAGACAAUGUUAGAGACGUUUUGACAGAUUCAGACUCACGUAAAUCUCGCUACAUUUUCGCCAGCGCGCCAACAAAUUUCGUAUCAGAGCUAAAGUUACGCUGAGUAUGCCCUGUGGUUGCGAUUUUAAUAACUGAUCUUACACAUAAAAAAGUUACACUUUAGUACUUUGAUAAUCAUAUUUUAAUCCACCCUCACAAAGUCCUCUGAAAACCUCUACAAAAAAAUCCUCUCAAAAUACUAUGGCAGCACCAUCGUCAAGUUCCAUGUUCGCCAACUCUCCCAAUCAAAUCCCAAUUUUUGAUGGAGAAUUGUACGAAUAUUGGAAAGCACAAGUGGAGACUAUCUUCAUUUCGCAAGAGUUGCGGAAUAUUUUUCAAGAAGGCAUCAAAAAAUCACCACAAGAGGACGACUCCACAUCGACCAGAUAGGAGAGAAGCUCAUCUUCAUUCGAUAUAGCGAUGAAUCCAUAGGCUAUAGACUCUCCAAUCCAUUAAAGAACGAGGUGGUGAUUUCAUGAGAUGUUAUGUUCGACGAAAUGGCCGAUUGGAGUUGGGAAACUCGGGAUACACAACCUCCAUCAAAAAAUGAGAUCCUAGAGAAUCCAACAACUACACCAACAACACAUAAUGAGUUGGAUCAAAAUCUUGUCCAAGGAAGAAGUCCAACAACGAGUCUAACAAGAGACAACGUCAGAGAUAUCGUGAGUGAUUCAGACUCACCUCCAUUAAACGUCAGAUCUUUAAGAGAAAUUUAUGAAUCUUGUCACGUAGCAUAUUUUUCUUAUCAACCUUAUACAUUUGAAGAAGCAGCAAAAGACAAAGUCUGGACAGAAGCAAUGGACACAAAGAUCUCAAUGAUGGAGAAGAACAAGACUUGGGAGCUCGUGGACACACCAAAAUCCAAGCCGGUCAUAGGUCUAAAAUGGAUCUACAAGACACAAUUUAACAAAGAUGGUUCCAUCCAGAAGCACAAAGCAAGAUUGGUGGCAAAAGGCUAUUCACAACAGUGUGGCCUCGACUUUCACGAAACCUUCACACCAGUAGUGCGGAUGAAGACAAUAAGAACAGUCAUAGCACUAGCAGCUCAAAUGGAGUUACCAAUAUUCUAGGUAGACGUCAAGUCAGUAUUGCACAAUGGAACACUAGAAGAAGAAGUCCAUGUGGAACAACCAUGAGGGUACGAGAAGAAAGGAGGAGAAGACAAAGUCUAUCGACUCAAAAAUGUGGUCUACGGAUUUAAACAAGCGUCUCGAGUGUGGAACAACAUAAUUGAUCGCUAUUUUCAAAACAAUGGAUUCCAAAGAAGUCCAAGUGGAGCAUCUCUAUACGUAAAAAAGGGAGAAGAUAAAAUCAUUCUUAUUUUGUGCUUAUAUAUUGAUGACUUGAUCUAUACGGGGCACAAGUCCACAAAUGAUUGAAGAAUUCAAAAGAGCAAUGAUGUUAGAAUUCAAGAUGAAAGACUUGGGACUUAUGAAGUAUUUCCUCGCAAUUCAAAUGAAGCAGAAGCCAUGGGAAAUAUUCAUCUCCUAAGAGAAAUAUACCGAAGAUAUGUUGAAUAGAAUUCACAUGGAAACGUCCAAGCCCAUAGCUACACUAAUGGUACUAAGAGAUAAACUGCAACAAGAUAAUGGAGCAUAAAAAGUUGACAGAAAAAUCUACUGAAGCCUAGUCGGAUCGCUCAUAUAUCUGACACACACAAGACCAGAUAUAUGUCACUCGGUAGUCUCAUUUCAAGAUUUUAAAUGUGC
This 5492-nucleotide long non-coding RNA is filed under the name Linum usitatissimum (flax). RNAcentral describes it as "long non-coding RNA (LUSI_LNC004190)". Lineage: Eukaryota; Viridiplantae; Streptophyta; Magnoliopsida; Malpighiales; Linaceae. The record is from RNAcentral.